Molecule: ribosomal RNA, 440 nt
Filed under: uncultured bacterium
Lineage: Bacteria
Description: bacterial SSU rRNA
Rfam family: Bacterial small subunit ribosomal RNA
Source: RNAcentral
CCUACGGGUGGCUGCAGUGAGGAAUCUUCCACAAUGGACGAAAGUCUGAUGGAGCGACACCGCGUGAAGGAUGAAGGCCUAACGGUUGUAAACUUCUUUUCUGAAGGAGCAUAAUGAGAGUACUUCAGGAAUAAGGGACGGCUAAAUACGUGCCAGCAGCCGCGGUAAUACGUAUGUCUCGAGCGUUACCCGGAAUCACUGGGUGUAAAGGGUUCGUAGGCGGUUUAAUAAGUUGGAUAUGAAAGACCGGAGCUCAACUUCGUGUUUGUCUUCAAAACUGUUAAACUAGAAUCAGGGAGAGGUAAGUAGAAUUCUAAGUGUAGGGGUGCAAUCCGUAGAUACUUAGAGGAAUACCAAAAGCGAAGGCAACUUACUGGAACUGUAUUGACGCUGAGGAACGAAAGCGUGGGUAGCGAAAAGGAUUAGAUACCCUAGUAGUC